AGACGUGGACUGGAACACCUGAG
This 23-nucleotide microRNA is filed under the name Gallus gallus (chicken). RNAcentral's name for it is "gga-miR-1779". Lineage: Eukaryota; Metazoa; Chordata; Aves; Galliformes; Phasianidae. The record is from miRBase by way of RNAcentral.